AAACUUAAAGGUAUUGACGGAAGGGCACCACAAGGAGUGGAGCUUGCGGCUUAAUUUGACUCAACGCGGGGCAUCUUACCAGGCUCGGACAUUGCGGGGAUUGACAGAUCAAGAGCUCUUUCAUGAUUCGGUGGGUGGUGGUGCAUGGCCGUUCUUAGUACGUGGUGCAAACUGUCAGGUUAAAUCCGCUAACGUACAUGACUCUAGCCUAUUAACUAGAGCCGGACGAUGAUAAUAAGUCGCCGAAGCAUAGUACUUCUUAGAGGGAUUCCUUUGGCGUGAGAGAAGCGGAUGAAAUAGAGCAAUAACAGGUCUGUGAUGCCCUUAGAUGGUCCGGGCCGCACGCGCGCUACACUGGCGUGGAAAGAAGGGGCAGGCUUAGGCUGGCCGGGCGCGUGAGUAGCCUAGUAACUAGGAAAACUUAGAAACCUUGUCGUGAUCGGGCUCAGGCCUUGGAAUUGUGGCAUGCUAACGAGGAAUUCCAAGUAAGUGCGAGUCAUCAGCUUGCGUUGAUCAAGUCCCUGCCCUUUGUACACACCGCCCGUCGCUACCACUGAGCUAGCGGUUUAGCAAGGAGGUCUAGACGAGUCCUGGUCGCCGUCACCCGUGGCCGGCAAGGGGGUGGGUCCCACAAGACUCAUCCCCGGCCUCGGAGGCUUCAGGUGGGCUUGAAAGGCCUACGAACUCGACUGUUUCUAGGAGGUAAA
This 707-nucleotide ribosomal RNA is filed under the name Trypanosyllis luzonensis. RNAcentral's name for it is "bacterial SSU rRNA". It matches the Rfam family "Eukaryotic small subunit ribosomal RNA", at positions 1140 to 1786 of the family's 1831-position model. Lineage: Eukaryota; Metazoa; Annelida; Polychaeta; Phyllodocida; Syllidae. The record is from RNAcentral.